Molecule: ribosomal RNA, 429 nt
Filed under: Gemmatimonadota bacterium
Lineage: Bacteria; Pseudomonadati; Gemmatimonadota
Description: Gemmatimonadetes bacterium partial 16S ribosomal RNA
Rfam family: Bacterial small subunit ribosomal RNA
Source: RNAcentral
UAGGGAAUCUUCGGCAAUGGACGAAAGUCUGACCGAGCAACGCCGCGUGAGUGAAGAAGGUUUUCGGAUCGUAAAACUCUGUUGUUAGAGAAGAACAAGGACGUUAGUAACUGAACGUCCCCUGACGGUAUCUAACCAGAAAGCCACGGCUAACUACGUGCCAGCAGCCGCGGUAAUACGUAGGUGGCAAGCGUUGUCCGGAUUUAUUGGGCGUAAAGCGAGCGCAGGCGGUUUCUUAAGUCUGAUGUGAAAGCCCCCGGCUCAACCGGGGAGGGUCAUUGGAAACUGGGAGACUUGAGUGCAGAAGAGGAGAGUGGAAUUCCAUGUGUAGCGGUGAAAUGCGUAGAUAUAUGGAGGAACACCAGUGGCGAAGGCGGCUCUCUGGUCUGUAACUGACGCUGAGGCUCGAGAGCGUGGGGAGCAAACAAG